RNAcentral lists this ribosomal RNA (468 nucleotides) under uncultured bacterium. Its description in RNAcentral is "partial 16S ribosomal RNA". It matches the Rfam family "Bacterial small subunit ribosomal RNA", at positions 28 to 507 of the family's 1533-position model. The record is from RNAcentral.
GACGAACGCUGGCGGCGCGCCUAACACAUGCAAGUCGAACGGAGCUGAGAGAAGCUUGCUUUUCUUAGCUUAGUGGCGAACGGGUGAGUAACGCGUGAGUAACCUGCCCUGGAGUGGGGGACAACAGUUGGAAACGACUGCUAAUACCGCAUAAGCCCACGAUCCGGCAUCGGCUUGAGGGAAAAGGAUUUAUUCGCUUCAGGAUGGACUCGCGUCCAAUUAGCUAGUUGGUGAGGUAACGGCCCACCAAGGCGACGAUUGGUAGCCGGACUGAGAGGUAGAACGGCCACAUUGGGACGGGGACACGGCCCGGACUCCUGCGGGAGGCAGGAGUGGGGGAUAUUGCACAAUGGGGGAAACCCUGAUGCAGCGACGCCGCGUGGAGGAAGAAGGUUUUCGGAUUGUAAACUCCUGUCGUUAGGGACGAUAAUGACGGUACCUAACAAGAAAGCACCGGCUAACUACGUG